This 1492-nucleotide ribosomal RNA is filed under the name metagenome. Its description in RNAcentral is "bacterial SSU rRNA". It matches the Rfam family "Bacterial small subunit ribosomal RNA". The record is from RNAcentral.
AGAGUUUGAUCAUGGCUCAGAUUGAACGCUGGCGGCAUGCCUUACACAUGCAAGUCGAACGGUAACGCGGGGGCAACCCUGGCGACGAGUGGCGAACGGGUGAGUAAUACAUCGGAACAUAUCCAGUAGCGGGGGAUAACCUAUCGAAAGAUGGACUAAUACCGCAUACGAUCUACGGAUGAAAGCAGGGGACCGCAAGGCCUUGCACUAUUGGAGUGGCCGAUGUCGGAUUAGCUAGUUGGUGGGGUAAAAGCUUACCAAGGCGACGAUCCGUAGCUGGUCUGAGAGGACGAUCAGCCACACUGGAACUGAGACACGGUCCAGACUCCUACGGGAGGCAGCAGUGGGGAAUUUUGGACAAUGGGCGCAAGCCUGAUCCAGCCAUGCCGCGUGAGUGAAGAAGGCCUUCGGGUUGUAAAGCUCUUUCGGUGAAGACGAAACGGUUCAUGCUAAUAACGUGAACUAAUGACGGUACUCACAGAAGAAGCACCGGCUAACUACGUGCCAGCAGCCGCGGUAAUACGUAGGGUGCAGGCGUUAAUCGGAAUUACUGGGCGUAAAGCGUGCGCAGGCGGUUUGCUAAGACAGGUGUGAAAUCCCGGGCUUAACCUGGGAAUUGCGCUUGUAACUGGCAAGCUAGAGUGUGGCAGAGGGGGGUGGAAUUCCACGUGUAGCAGUGAAAUGCGUAGAUAUGUGGAGGAACACCGAUGGCGAAGGCAGCCCCCUGGGUUAACACUGACGCUCAUGCACGAAAGCGUGGGGAGCAAACAGGAUUAGAUACCCUGGUAGUCCACGCCCUAAACUAUGUCAACUAGUUGUCGGGGAAGAAAUUCCUUGGUAACGAAGCUAACGCGUGAAGUUGACCGCCUGGGGAGUACGGCCGCAAGGUUAAAACUCAAAGGAAUUGACGGGGACCCGCACAAGCGGUGGAUUAUGUGGAUUAAUUCGAUGCAACGCGAAAAACCUUACCUACCCUUGACAUGCUAGGAAGCCCGCAGAGAUGUGGGUGUGCCCGAAAGGGAACCUAGACACAGGUGCUGCAUGGCUGUCGUCAGCUCGUGUCGUGAGAUGUUGGGUUAAGUCCCGCAACGAGCGCAACCCUUGCCAUUAGUUGCUACAUUCAGUUGGGCACUCUAAUGGGACCGCCGGUGACAAACCGGAGGAAGGUGGGGAUGACGUCAAGUCCUCAUGGCCCUUAUGGGUAGGGCUUCACACGUAAUACAAUGGUCGGUACAGAGGGCUGCCAACCCGCAAGGGGGAGCUAAUCCCAGAAAGCCGAUCGUAGUCCGGAUUGUAGUCUGCAACUCGACUGCAUGAAGCCGGAAUCGCUAGUAAUCGCGGAUCAGCAUGUCGCGGUGAAUACGUUCCCGGGUCUUGUACACACCGCCCGUCACACCAUGGGAGUGGGUUCCACCAGAAGUAGUUAGCCUAACCGCAAGGAGGGCGAUUACCACGGUGAGAUUCAUGACUGGGGUGAAGUCGUAACAAGGUA